UAUAAAUGGCCUAACUCAGAAAUAGAAGGGUGCAGCUGACCAGCCCUUUACACUCUUCCGUUCGGAAGACAUUUCUACAGCUGGGACCUCAAGUCAAUAAAGUCUGAAGGCGUUUACUUGAAAAGUGGAAAAAUGGAAGCCUUAUCUUCACCAGUGGAGACCCAAGAAAAACAGAUAAAUAUGGCUGAGGAUAUUAUUGAGAUGGGGGACCCUGCGCGUGUGCCUGCUGAGACAGCGGUGACCUCGACUGAUGAUGAGGAGGACAUGGGCUGCUGUGAUACGGACUUUGAUCACGUCUGCACAAUGAUAGGCGUCGCGGCCACUGCGUUGAACCUCCUACUGAUGAUGGCGGUGUACAUAUAUUUUGUAAACACGGAUGACACCGACACGAAAAGAACCGGGCGGAUCUUCAGUGGAUGGAAGCCUUAGACCAUACACCGAGUCAUAGUAGUUUAAUCCUUCAGCAUUGGUCUUUGUUCAUAGCAACAUAGCAAACAGUUAAUAACAACCUAGCAAAAUAACACCCAACUGCAUAUAUAUGCAGUACUAUAUGCAGUGCCAUACGUAAUACUAAUAUGACAAAAUAGCAUUGUGUUAUAUUAUAAUCAAAACAUCAGCAUCAAUCUGGUAUGGAUUUAAAAAAUCUGGCAAUAUCAGUGCAUUGCAACAUUUAUUUAUAUUCCUGCCUUUGACUUUUAGAUCAGUUUAUCAUGAAUAAAUUCAUGACAUAAGGUUAAUGUAUAACUUUUUAGAAGAUAUCUGGUUAAUAAUUGAAAUAAUGGAAAGAUUAUUCUGCUUUUCACCAUUUAUUCCUUUAGCAAAUAUAUAUAUAUAGUGUACACAAAUAAGGAGCUUGUCUCGUAUGCCGAGAUCUAAAUACAUGUUGUUAUUAUAAAUGAAUACUGAAUAAUAUAAAACGGCCAAACAUAGUAAAUUUGCUUGGAUCUCCCCUCAUGGUCCUUGGGCUAUGCUGGCCGCAGGUGGGCCCAUGUGGAUGUCUGGCAGCAGGUGGCAGCUGGUGAUACUAUCAAUCUUCUCAGAAACAGCCUUCAGGUCGUCCAGGAUGAGUCUGAUGCUGUGGGAGGCGUUGAUGAUAGCCGCCUGGGAUGUGUUGAGCUGAACGGUGGCACUGCGUACCUACCACAACGAUACGUGGGAUCAGGUCAAUACAAAGGAACUGACAAUUAAAACCCCAUUAAAAAUAUAUCAUGGGGAUAGGGGAUGGGGGGGUGUAGGUGGUAUAUGGUAAAAUCAGGGUAUCUGCAGGUUUCAGCAAGUCAAAUUUAAGACUUUUUAAGACCUUUUUAAUACCACCUUGAAUGAAAUUUAAGACCUAAAACACGCGAUGGUGGGGGUUGGCAACAGACGCGAGCCAACUUCGGAAAUGGACGUCUUCCAGCCAACUGUCCUUGAAUUCGCACCUACCCAUUGUCGCAGACUAGCUAGCAAGCACGCAGAUAAUCAUUUAUAUAUGCAGCUAGCAAGAAAGAAGCCUGAAAUGUCACACGAGAAAAAAUAAUAAAUAAAUAGUCCCGCCCCAACAAAUUUAAGUCCUUGAGUUACAGUAUUUAAGACCACCAUAUGACAUUUCUAACGAAUUUAAGACUUUUUAAGACCUUAAAUUUAGAAACUUUUUAAGACUUUUAAGGAUGCGUGGACACCCUGGGUAAAAUAGUAGACACAAAAUAUUAGUUCAAACUGUAAAGGUAGAUACUCCUGCAAGUUAAGAGUUGAAGGUGAUAUUCUUUACCUUGUUGACUGUGUCCUUUAAGACAGUUGUGUAAUGAACCCAUGUAGUCAAUGUAAAUACAUACAUUUCACAAACUUACCAAUAAAUGCACUUUUUGUUCUUUU
Gadus morhua (Atlantic cod) is the source of this 1854-nucleotide long non-coding RNA. RefSeq lists it as uncharacterized. The transcript is spliced from 2 exons. NCBI's taxonomy places the organism in Eukaryota, Metazoa, Chordata, Actinopteri, Gadiformes, Gadidae. The record is from RefSeq and is a predicted model, not a curated record.